CAAGGAAUAGUUUAAUUAAAAAUUUUAAUUUUGGAGAUUAAAGAUAAAGGUGUCUUUUUCCUUGA
This 65-nucleotide transfer RNA is filed under the name Bruchus sp. EMHAU-15071302. RNAcentral's name for it is "tRNA-Pro". Lineage: Eukaryota; Metazoa; Arthropoda; Insecta; Coleoptera; Chrysomelidae. The record is from RNAcentral.